UGCCAGCCGCCGCGGUAAUACGGAGGGUGCAAGCGUUGUUCGGAAUUAUUGGGCGUAAAGCGCGUGUAGGUGGUUCGUUAAGUCUGAUGUGAAAGCCCGGGGCUCAACCCCGGAAGUGCAUUGGAAACUGGCGAACUUGAGUACGGGAGAGGAAAGUGGAAUUCCCAGUGUAGCGGUGAAAUGCGUAGAUAUUGGGAGGAACACCAGUGGCGAAGGCGGCCACCUGGACCGGUUCCGACGCUGAGGCGCGAAAGUGUGGGGAGCAAACAGGAUUAGAUA
Molecule: ribosomal RNA, 279 nt
Filed under: uncultured bacterium
Lineage: Bacteria
Description: partial 16S ribosomal RNA
Rfam family: Bacterial small subunit ribosomal RNA
Source: RNAcentral